This 254-nucleotide ribosomal RNA is filed under the name uncultured bacterium. Its description in RNAcentral is "partial 16S ribosomal RNA". It matches the Rfam family "Bacterial small subunit ribosomal RNA", at positions 524 to 776 of the family's 1533-position model. The record is from RNAcentral.
UACGUAGGGAGCAAGCGUUGUUCGGAUUUACUGGGCGUAAAGGGCGCGUAGGCGGCCAGCACAAGUCAGUUGUGAAAUCUCCGAGCUUAACUCGGAAAGGUCAACUGAUACUGUGCGGCUAGAGUGCAGAAGGGGCAACUGGAAUUCUUGGUGUAGCGGUGAAAUGCGUAGAUAUCAAGAGGAACACCUGCGGCGAAGGCGGGUUGCUGGGCUGACACUGACGCUGAGGCGCGAAAGCCAGGGGAGCGAACGGG